Pseudomyrmex gracilis is the source of this 4450-nucleotide long non-coding RNA. RefSeq lists it as uncharacterized. The record is from RefSeq and is a predicted model, not a curated record. The transcript has 3 exons. Lineage: Eukaryota; Metazoa; Arthropoda; Insecta; Hymenoptera; Formicidae.
UCGAUCUCAUCGCUAAAAAUUAAUACUAAAAAAAUUAUUCAAGUCUCGAUAACUUAAACAAAGAAAAAAAAUCUGCAAAGAGCGUCGCGCAUUCCCCUUUUUCUUCAAGCAAGUGUUACCCGUGCCGGAACGAAUCAGCGACGCCUCAAAAAAAUUAGAUACGCGUUCUGACUCUCGCAUCAUCCGUGCGCGUGCGCACGAAGGAAGGAAGUUUCGCGCACCAGCUUUCUCCCUGCAAUUAUCCUCACAUCCGUUUCCAACCUUCCAUUGUAUUGAGCGCUAACGGAGCCGGUUCAACGACCUCACCGCGCGCGGCAGACAACUCGCGUUUUUCAAAACGGGCUCGGAUCUCGAGAACAACCGAUUCGCGUCUGAGCGAUAAUCGAGACCAAUUAACGGAGUAAGAGAUCUCACUCGGUGCAGAUUUUCGCAUUUCGUCCUUAAAGCGAUUGGUCGAUUCGCGAUGCUGUGAGACGACGAGUCUGCGGCAUCGCGCAAUUAAUUAUUCAUGCCAUCGAUCCUAGGAAAGUAUGAGCAAUUGAACACCAAUUUUGAAAAUCGAUUUGCUAAAACUUGAUUGUUUUUUUUUUCUUUCAGAACCGAUAUAAAUCAGUGAAAGAGAGACACGAGUAUCAGACCACAGCGGAGUAAUCAUUAAUUUCAAAUCUCCCUGAGAAGGCAACAAUUUCGAAAAUUUUCAUAAACGAGAUCUCUCCGGGUGUCCCGGGUUGCGCGUCUGAUGCAACACUGUGAAUUUGCAAAUAACAGGAGAAGACGUUAAUUACAAAACUGCCGGUGCGCCGCAAGCGCGCAAUGCAUCUCCGCUUCAUCCCGGGACGUGGUUCAAAGACCUCGACGGUAUAUUUCUGGAAAUCGACGUGCGUGCAUCUCUCCGACGUAUAAAAGGUUACUCGUAAAUAACAAAUUGCCGGGCGAUCAAAAUCCAAUUUCGUCAUAUCGCGCUACUCUCUCUCUGGCGUCGCUUCUCUUCCAAAUCGUUUUAUUUUUUUUGUGAGAAAUCAUCCUUGAAAAAAUCUCGCGAUCUCCGUGUGUGCUCCUUUACCCGCGUGAAAGUCACCGUAAAACCGCGAGAAGUCCGCCUACCUACUCAAAGUACAUACGUCCCACAUGGGUGUAUUAAGCGUGACCAUAUAUGAACAUCGUCGUUCGAAAGCUAAGAUCUCUCGCCCAACCCUAUCUGUUUUCCCCUCUCCGUCUCCACUCCGCCUUCAUCGCGCGCGUCCACAGCUUAGCCGCAAUAUAUGUAUGUUAAUAGCCAGAUAUGAGUCACCAAUGUCACCGCUAUAUAUAGAGAUGACAGUAAAACCGCGACAUGGCCGUGCAAUUAACAUAAGCAGCGAUCAUUCUCGUCCAUCGCGCGGUGAUUUGUGUUUGACCUCUUUUUUUAUUUUUUUGCCCCCCGCUAGGUCUGACAUUUCGAUCGCCAGCAGCCGUACAGAUUAUGUCGACUGGCUCGCGUUGGCUCGAGCCGGAAGAAGCGCGAAAGAGAGACAAGUACCGUUAUUCUAAAUGCAUGCACGCGGUGCGUGCGACGAUGUUGAAUGCGCGUUGUUGCGUAACCACCAACGAACGGACAUAGAUGCACAAUUGGACCGCGAGCAGUCCCGAGGGUCUUUUGCUGGCUCUACCAUUGACGGACCACAUUCCCGUUUGUGAUAGGAAAGAGACGCGUAGCAAAGAGGAAGAUUACUUCGCAUUGUUGCGGUAGACGAAACGGAGCCUCUCGGAUCCGACGGGAUCGAUACACCUGGCUAUAUUCAGAGAGAGAGAGAGAGAGGGUCGCACGCAGGCAACGAAACGGCCGCCGCGAAGUGAUGCGAAGGAAAACGGCGAGAGGAUAUCGCCGACUUCCUUUAUUUGGGAACGCGUUGCCGUUGCUACGUUGCGAGACCUGGUGUCCUUGGACUCGCUGAAUGAGUACACUCGUGUAAUCGUUACACAACACAAAAAGCUAGUAAUAAAAUUUAUAAAUUUACACGUACGUAUUAUUACAAAAUUUUUUACUCUCUUUGAAAACGCGCUCAGUCGGAGGAUAAAAGUUUUUUCGAAUAAAUUUCGCGAAGAUGCGAUCUCUUCGGAAUAUUCAAUUGCCAUCGAGUUGCUCAACUCGAAAAUCAAGUAAACAAUUACAUUUAUCACUAAUUGUUAUCGCAAAACUCUCAUUAGAUAACAAACGGGAAAAAUAAGACGUAACAAAAUAAUCGCAACAUUCUUGUUUUUUUUUUUUUUUACGUUCUUGUUUUUUUUUAUUCGACAUAAUUCCUUCUUAAGUAGAAUAAAGCCGUUGAACACGUAGAUGAAAAAAGAAGUCUCGACGUUUAUAUAUACUCUAACAUCACGUCCAAUCGAUUGAGAUAGACAACUCGCGAGAAACGGACGUUGACUUGGCCGCGGCAGCUUCAAAACUUACGGAAGCGUAACGACGAAUGGUUUUAAGUCACCAUUUUCACGAUCCUUUUUAUCGGAUUACCCCGAAGAAUAUUAUAACAAAUUUGUUCAUUUCCCGAGAUGUGAUUACUAUAGAAGUAGAAUUUUUUUAAUACCGCGUUUACAAAUUAAACUUUUCAUAUGUAAAUUUUGGGAAAGCGACAUUCUUCAAGACACAAAAAAUCAAUUUUGUUCCAAACAAAUUCCAUAUUAUAUACAUACAUCAGUAAUUUAUUUUACAAAAAAAAGCGUCUAGCCAUAUCGAACCAUCUUUUAUUCUUGGACGUGUAAAAUAUAAAAAUAAUAUUGAAAGAAUAUAUCGGAGAGAACGUGUCAAUAAACUGAUAAACACAUCAGAAAAUAACUUUAUUAACAACGACUCUUUACACAAGAGUCUGAUUCAUACGAUUAACGAGAGAUCGGACGUCGGACGUAUAUCGACACGCGAUAAUGCAAAGCCACGCACACACACACACACACACACAGACACAUACAAUCGUCAGUCAAGCGUCCGAGCGCGCGCGCGUUGGAGCAUAACGUAAAAAUUUUAAAGUAUAACCGCCAUACGACGGACGCGCGUAUAGCGUGAUCGCGACGCCGCACGAUCAUCGCAGGAAUUCCAUCUGCCUUUAAGCAGCGCGCACACCGAAUGUGAACGCGUUCCAACAAAACUGACGCGCAAAUGCGACGAAAUUUUAUCAAAUUGAAACUGUAAAAAGAUCAAUCGCCGCAUUAACUGCCGUAUUCGGCACAGAAAAUUCGAUCUAUUUGUUUUUUUGCGCAAUAGUUUUUUUGUCAUUUAGGUGCGUACGCGCCUUUAGGGUCUUGCCGAACGCAUCAGUGUAAUAUGAAAUUGCGACGAAAAACGACGUCGCGGAGAAAGAUAAAAAAGAGACGAUCGACUACGUACAGCAAAAACUAAAUAAGUUGGUGAACAUAUAUCGCACGUAUAUAAAAAAAAUAUAUAUGACAAAAUACAUAAAAAAAAAAAAUUGAAUAGAAUUUACUACAUUUUCUACUUCCGUUAAUUUUUCCAAUAGAACGAGAAAUCGAGUCCACUUGGGGAUCGACAUUUGAGAGAAUUGCAACGAGAAAAAAAAGCAAAGGCCGAGCAUAGAAGCAUUCGCCGGUAAGAGAGAGAGAGAGAGAGAGAGAAACGAGAUGUGCGCGCGCAACCGGUCGAUGGUCCCCGCGUACACACAGACGAUGAUCUCUCGUCGUUGCGAGAUAUUGGGCCACACCCAGCCUCCGAUCUUUCCCAGGAAGAUUGAACGAAUUUAGCAAAUUUUCGCGAACGCAACCUUUCUUCUUCGUCAAACUGCGCAUUAAAAGCGCACCUGUUAUGUCGCGAUCACCGGUUUCGCGAUCGAUGAGAACAUGACGUGGUGCAUAGAAAAUUACGCACCUAAGAUGGCCGACGCUUGGCGACGACGCCUCGUAGAGGAACGCGGUAGGUAACGAGCAAAGAAAAGACCAAGGAGGGGAAAAAAGACCGUUAGGGCUUUGCCGGCCGGCCGGCCGGCGAGCUUCUGUCGCCAUGACGGGUCUUCGACCGUCAUGUCGUCCGGGAGAGAGUCGAAAGGAACAAAAUUUAUUUGCGCGCAUUCCGAGCCCCAGAAAAAUUGCAGCACGUUUUCCGAUUCACAACCAACAGUCUCUCUCGAAUAUCGACAGACCUGAAACUCGUGGAACGGAAACUUGAGUGAUAGAAAUGGCAUUUUGGUACCGGCCAAAAGCCCAGAAACCGGACUACUACUCUUCUCCUCCUCACUCCACUCCUUCCCCCUUCCCCACCCCCGCAUUCCUCGCGUUGCUUUGCAAUCAGAAAUCGAUUUUUACGAAAUUUUCAGAUUAAUCUCAGACACGGGAGGAAAGGAGAGACGGGAACGGAGAAUCGAGACACAAGGUCCAAGGAAUUGCGAUAGAAUUUUCUCGCUCGGACGAACUACUUUGCGAACAAAGGAACGCCGCGAGAUGAUAAAUCGUUUCAGCGAAAAGCAAU